UACUGGUCCAGGGCACGCCUGUCAG
Molecule: unclassified non-coding RNA, 25 nt
Filed under: Mus musculus (house mouse)
Lineage: Eukaryota; Metazoa; Chordata; Mammalia; Rodentia; Muridae
Description: oocyte_clustered_small_RNA8730
Source: RNAcentral